Long non-coding RNA from Gopherus evgoodei (Goodes thornscrub tortoise), 150 nucleotides. RefSeq lists it as uncharacterized. The record is from RefSeq and is a predicted model, not a curated record. The transcript has 3 exons. NCBI's taxonomy places the organism in Eukaryota, Metazoa, Chordata, Testudines, Testudinidae.
UGCGCUGCGCUGCACGAUGGUAUGGCUGGCUCCAGCCAGGCGGUGCGGCUGCCUGUCCUGGCACUCUGGGCGGCGCAGCUGUAGUGCUGACAGCCACCAGUGCUCCAGGCAGCACGGUAGUGGGCAGGGGGCAGGGGGGUUGGAUAGAGG